CGGGGCGUGGCGCAGUCUGGUAGCGCACCUGCUUUGGGAGCAGGGGGUCCUCAGUUCGAAUCUGAGCGCCCCGACCA
Molecule: transfer RNA, 77 nt
Filed under: Acidobacteriales bacterium 59-55
Lineage: Bacteria; Pseudomonadati; Acidobacteriota; Terriglobia; Terriglobales
Also listed under: 2 other names
Description: tRNA-Pro
Rfam family: tRNA
About the family: Transfer RNA (tRNA) molecules are approximately 80 nucleotides in length. Their secondary structure includes four short double-helical elements and three loops (D, anti-codon, and T loops).
Source: RNAcentral